Molecule: ribosomal RNA, 492 nt
Filed under: uncultured bacterium
Lineage: Bacteria
Description: partial 16S ribosomal RNA
Rfam family: Bacterial small subunit ribosomal RNA
Source: RNAcentral
AGUGAACGCUGGCGGUAGGCCUAACACAUGCAAGUCGAACGGCAGCACAGUAAGAGCUUGCUCUUACGGGUGGCGAGUGGCGGACGGGUGAGGAAUACAUCGGAAUCUACUUUUUCUUGGGGGAUAACGUAGGGAAACUUACGCUAAUACCGCAUACGACCUACGGGUGAAAGCAGGGGAUCUUCGGACCUUGCGCGAUUCAAUGAGCCGAUGUCGGAUUAGCUAGUUGGCGGGGUAAAGGCCCACCAAGGCGACGAUCCGUAGCUGGUCUGAGAGGAUGAUCAGCCACACUGGAACUGAGACACGGUCCAGACUCCUACGGGAGGCAGCAGUGGGGAAUAUUGGACAAUGGGCGCAAGCCUGAUCCAGCCAUACCGCGUGGGUGAAGAAGGCCUUCGGGUUGUAAAGCCCUUUUGUUGGGAAAGAAAAGCAGCAGGUUAAUACCCCGCUGUUCUGACGGUACCCAAAGAAUAAGCACCGGCUAACUUCGUG